This 384-nucleotide ribosomal RNA is filed under the name uncultured eukaryote. RNAcentral's name for it is "partial 18S ribosomal RNA". It matches the Rfam family "Eukaryotic small subunit ribosomal RNA", at positions 592 to 976 of the family's 1831-position model. The record is from RNAcentral.
CAAUAGCGUAUAUUAAAGUUGUUGCAGUUAAAAAGCUCGUAGUUGGAUUUCUGUCAAGAGCAAGCGGUCCGCUCCUUUGGAGUGUGUACUUGCGUCGUUUUUGACUUUCUUCUGAACCUUGCUGUUUCCCCUUCAUUGGGUGAGGCAGUUUGGCAGAACCUUUACUUUGAGAAAAUUAGAGUGUUUCAAGCAGGCUAGCGCCUUGAAUACUGCAGCAUGGAAUAAUAAGAUAGGAUUUCAGUUCUAUUUUAUUGGUUCUAAGGACUGAAAUAAUGAUUAAUAGGGACAGUUGGGGGCAUUCGUAUUUAACUGUCAGAGGUGAAAUUCUUAGAUUUGUUAAAGACGAACUACUGCGAAAGCAUUUGCCAAGGAUGUUUUCAUUGA